RNAcentral lists this ribosomal RNA (519 nucleotides) under uncultured bacterium. RNAcentral's name for it is "bacterial SSU rRNA". It matches the Rfam family "Bacterial small subunit ribosomal RNA", at positions 8 to 518 of the family's 1533-position model. The record is from RNAcentral.
AGAGUUGAUCCUGGCUCAGGAUGAACGCUAGCGACAGGCUUAACACAUGCAAGUCGAGGGGCAGCAUGAGGGUAGCAAUACUCUCGAUGGCGACCGGCGCACUGGUGAGUAACACGGUAUGCAACCUGGCCCCUGGUUGGGGGGAUAACCCGCGGAAACGCGGCCUAAUACCCCGUAUGCGCGGACGCCGCAUGACGUCCGUGUGAGAGAAUUUCGUCCAGGGAUGGGCAUGCGGCGCAUUAGCUAGUUGGCGGGGCAACGGCCCACCAAGGCCACGAUGCGUAGGGGUUCUGAGAGGAAGGUCCCCCACACUGGUACUGAGACACGGACCAGACUCCUACGGGAGGCAGCAGUGAGGAAUAUUGGUCAAUGGACGGUAGUCUGAACCAGCCAAGUCGCGUGAGGGAUGACGGCCCUACGGGUUGUAAACCUCUUUUGCCGGGGAGUAACCGUCGCCACGCGUGGCGGCCUGAGAGUACCCGGCGAAUAAGCAUCGGCUAACUCCGUGCCAGCAGCCGC